RNA transcript from Trichomycterus rosablanca, 1266 nucleotides. RefSeq lists it as uncharacterized. The record is from RefSeq and is a predicted model, not a curated record. Lineage: Eukaryota; Metazoa; Chordata; Actinopteri; Siluriformes; Trichomycteridae. The transcript has 3 exons.
UGUGCUGCUGCUGCUUCACUCUGAGACGGAGCAUCGAAGCGACAGCAUCUAAAAUGUCCUGGUUCAGAAAGUUGUGUUGUUGUAGCGUCCUGGCUGACGACGAGGAGCUGUACAGACACAGACCUGAGGAGAGGGAGAGAAAGAAGAAGAAGAAAUGGUGGCAGAGAUGCAAAAAGAAAGAACGGCAGGAGGACACAAAUGUGGAGGAACAUAAGGUGAUGGGAAAUGAGGAGAACGCAGGAACGUGCACACAGAUUCUGUCGGACCAAGGGCAGGAACUGGAGGUACAUGUAGUUCUGGAGAACCACAUCCAGGAACUGGGAGUACAGGUAGUUAUGCAGGACCAAGCCCAGGUCCUUGAGGAGCAGGUGGUUCUGAUGGACCAAGGGCAGCAUUUGGAGAAGCAGGAGCAGGUGGUUCUGAUAGACCAAGGGCAGCAUUUGGAGAAGCAGAAGCAGGUGAUUCUGAUGGACCAAGGGCAGCAUUUGGAGAAGCAGAAGCAGGUGAUUCUGAUGGACCAAGGGCAGCAUUUGGAGAAGCAGGAGCAGGUGGUUCUGACGGACCAAGGGCAGCAUUUGGAGAAGCAGGAGCAGGUGUUUCAAAAGGACCCAGUGCAAAAAUGGGAUGACCUGCUUGUUCAGCUGAAGCAGGUGCGCAACGUGAGCUGUUUCUGGAGAAGCAAGAAGAGGAACUGAAGGAGUCGUUGCUUCUGGAGAGCAAAAAAAGAAAGGAGCAGGUGGUUCUGGAGAACCAAGAGAAAGAACCGAAGGAGCAGGUGGUUAUGGAUAAACUGGAGGAGCAGCUGGUCCUGUAGGUGGAGAGCAGGAAACUGGAGGAGGUAGUAAUGCCAGACCUGAUAAGAAAAGUGAACAAGUGGGUGGCUGUGGAGGAAGAGAAGAACCUGGAUGAAGAGAACCCAGAGGAGCAGAACCCGGUUACACAAGGGAUUGAAGCAGAUCCACUUCAGGCUGACAUUCUGAAGAACACCUUCAGGUCCUCAUCUAAUGAAGUGGUGCAGCAGCAGAACGUCCAGGACGAGAACGUUCUGAUUGCUCCCACAUUCAGAAACCAACCUGGAGAGCAUGGGAGACUGAUGGAGACCAUGAUGAAGAAUCAAGGCGUGACCGUGUCUUCAUGAUAAAGCUGAAGAUAUAAUCAUCUGAAGAACCUGGUGGAGGCGUAAUGAAGAAUCACCAGACAACACGACGAGCUCCAGACUGAAACUUUCCUUCAUCAAAAAAAAAAUAAAGUUCAUUCAAAAAUAAA